GAGGGGCAGCGGGGAGGAAGCUUGCUUUCUCCGCCGGCGACCGGCGCACGGGUGAGUAACACGUAUGCAACCUGCCCCUGUCAGGGGGACAACCCGCCGAAAGGCGGGCUAAACCCGCGUACAUGCCACCGGGGCAUCCCGGAGGCAGGAAAGGCUUCGGCCGGACAGGGAUGGGCAUGCGGCGCAUUAGGCAGUAGGCGGGGUAACGGCCCACCUAACCGACGAUGCGUAGGGGUUCUGAGAGGAAGGUCCCCCACACUGGUACUGAGACACGGACCAGACUCCUACGGGAGGCAGCAGUGAGGAAUAUUGGUCAAUGGUCGGGAGACUGAACCAGCCAAGCCGCGUGAGGGAGGAAGGUACAGAGUAUCGUAAACCUCUUUUGUCAUGGAACAAAGGCGGGGACGUGUCCCCGGAUGAGUGUACCUGAAGAAAAAGCAUCGGCUAACUCCGUGCCAGCAGCCGCGGUAAUACGGAGGAUGCGAGCGUUAUCCGGAUUUAUUGGGUUUAAAGGGUGCGCAGGCGGUCUGUUAAGUCAGCGGUCAAAGCCCGGGGCUCAACCCCGGCCCGCCGUUGAAACUGGCAGUCUCGAGUU
Molecule: ribosomal RNA, 595 nt
Filed under: uncultured bacterium
Lineage: Bacteria
Description: bacterial SSU rRNA
Rfam family: Bacterial small subunit ribosomal RNA
Source: RNAcentral